GACGAACGCUGGCGGUGUGCUUAACACAUGCAAGUCGAACGGUAAGGCCCUUUCGGGGGUCCACGAGUGGCGAACGGGUGCGUAACACGUGAGUAACCUGCCCUCAUCUCUGGGAUAACAGUCGGAAACGGUUGCUAAUACUGGAUAUGAGCCUGCAAGGCAUCUUGUGGGUUGGAAAGAUUUUUUGGUUGGGGAUGGACUCGCGGCCUAUCAGCUUGUUGGUGAGGUAGUGGCUCACCAAGGCUUCGACGGGUAGCCGGCCUGAGAGGGCGACCGGCCACAUUGGGACUGAGAUACGGCCCAAACUCCUACGGGAGGCAGCAGUGGGGAAUAUUGCACAAUGGACGGAAGUCUGAUGCAGCAACGCCGCGUGCGGGAUGACGGCCUUCGGGUUGUAAACCGCUUUCAAUUGUGACGAAGCUUUUUGUGACGGUAGCAGUAGAAGAAGCACCGGCUAACUACGUG
This 465-nucleotide ribosomal RNA is filed under the name uncultured bacterium. Its description in RNAcentral is "partial 16S ribosomal RNA". It matches the Rfam family "Bacterial small subunit ribosomal RNA", at positions 28 to 507 of the family's 1533-position model. The record is from RNAcentral.